This 684-nucleotide ribosomal RNA is filed under the name Priestia megaterium. Its description in RNAcentral is "bacterial SSU rRNA". It matches the Rfam family "Bacterial small subunit ribosomal RNA", at positions 57 to 735 of the family's 1533-position model. Lineage: Bacteria; Bacillati; Bacillota; Bacilli; Caryophanales; Bacillaceae. The record is from RNAcentral.
GUAGGCUGGUGAUACUUGUACCAACUGGAUGAGCAGCGAACGGGUGAGUAACGCGUGGGGAAUCUGCCUUUGAGCGGGGGACAACAUUUGGAAACGAAUGCUAAUACCGCAUAAAAACUUUAAACACAAGUUUUAAGUUUGAAAGAUGCAAUUGCAUCACUCAAAGAUGAUCCCGCGUUGUAUUAGCUAGUUGGUGAGGUAAAGGCUCACCAAGGCGAUGAUACAUAGCCGACCUGAGAGGGUGAUCGGCCACAUUGGGACUGAGACACGGCCCAAACUCCUACGGGAGGCAGCAGUAGGGAAUCUUCGGCAAUGGACGAAAGUCUGACCGAGCAACGCCGCGUGAGUGAAGAAGGUUUUCGGAUCGUAAAACUCUGUUGGUAGAGAAGAACGUUGGUGAGAGUGGAAAGCUCAUCAAGUGACGGUAACUACCCAGAAAGGGACGGCUAACUACGUGCCAGCAGCCGCGGUAAUACGUAGGUCCCGAGCGUUGUCCGGAUUUAUUGGGCGUAAAGCGAGCGCAGGUGGUUUAUUAAGUCUGGUGUAAAAGGCAGUGGCUCAACCAUUGUAUGCAUUGGAAACUGGUAGACUUGAGUGCAGGAGAGGAGAGUGGAAUUCCAUGUGUAGCGGUGAAAUGCGUAGAUAUAUGGAGGAACACCGGUGGCGAAAGCGGCUCUCUGGCCU